Molecule: ribosomal RNA, 470 nt
Filed under: uncultured archaeon
Lineage: Archaea
Description: bacterial SSU rRNA
Rfam family: Archaeal small subunit ribosomal RNA
Source: RNAcentral
UGCGAGUCAUAUGUAGCAAUACAUGGCGUACUGCUCAUGUAACACGUGGAUAACCUGCCCUUGGGACCGGCAUAACCCCGGGAAACUGGGGAUAAUUCCGGAUAACGCAUAUUUGCUGGAAUGCUUUAUGCGUCAAAAGGAUUCGUCUGCCCAAGGAUGGGUCUGCGGCCUAUCAGGUAGUAUUGGGUGUAAUGUACCUACUAGCCAGCGACGGGUACGGGUUGUGAGUGCAAGAGCCCGGAGAUGGAUUCUGAGACAUGAAUCCAGGCCCUACGGGGCGCAUCAGGCGCGAAAACUUUACAAUGCGGGAAACCGUGAUAAGGGGACACCGAGUGCCAGCAUCAUAUGCUGGCUGUCCGGAUGUGUAAAAUACAUCCGUUAGCAAGGGCCGGGCAAGACCGGUGCCAGCCGCCGCGGUAACACCGGCGGCCCGAGUGGUGAUCGUGAUUAUUGGGUCUAAAGGGUCCGUA